This 590-nucleotide ribosomal RNA is filed under the name Aphelenchoides sp. 802L-005. Its description in RNAcentral is "SSU rRNA". It matches the Rfam family "Eukaryotic small subunit ribosomal RNA", at positions 1024 to 1643 of the family's 1831-position model. Lineage: Eukaryota; Metazoa; Nematoda; Chromadorea; Rhabditida; Aphelenchoididae. The record is from RNAcentral.
UUCUGACCGUAAACGAUGCCAACUAUCAAUCUGCCAGCAGCUUCCAGUUGUUGGCAGGCGGAUCGACGGAAACGAAAGUUUUUCGGUUCCGGGGGAAGUAUGGUUGCAAAGCUGAAACUUAAAGGAAUUGACGGAAGGGCACCACCAGGAGUGGAGCUUGCGGCUUAAUUUGACUCAACACGGGAAACCUCACCCGGCCAGUACAUCAUAAGGAUUGACAGAUUGAAAGCUCUUUCAUGAUUUGAUGAAUGGUGGUGCAUGGCCGUUCUUAGUUCGUGGCGUGAGUCGUCUGCUUAAUUGCGAUAACGAGCGAGACUCCGAUUGUUAAAUAGCUGGCAGUUUACUUCGACUGCACAGCUUCUUAACGAGAUUCGCGUCUUCAAGGCGCAAGAAAUGGAGCAAUAACAGGUCUGUGAUGCCCUUAGAUGUUCGGGGCCGCACGCGUGCUACAAUGAUGGUAACAGCGUGAUUGUCCUCGCCCGAGAGGGCUUGGCAAACAGUUGAGAUAUUAUUAUGGCUGGAAUUGAGUGUUGAAAUUUUCUCUCAUGAACGAGGAAUUCCAAGUAAAUGCGAGUCAUCAACUUGCAUUG